This 486-nucleotide ribosomal RNA is filed under the name Escherichia coli. RNAcentral describes it as "bacterial SSU rRNA". It matches the Rfam family "Bacterial small subunit ribosomal RNA", at positions 1059 to 1533 of the family's 1533-position model. Lineage: Bacteria; Pseudomonadati; Pseudomonadota; Gammaproteobacteria; Enterobacterales; Enterobacteriaceae. The record is from RNAcentral.
CUCGUGUUGUGAAAUGUUGGGUUAAGUCCCGCAACGAGCGCAACCCUUAUCCUUUGUUGCCAGCGGUCCGGCCGGGAACUCAAAGGAGACUGCCAGUGAUAAACUGGAGGAAGGUGGGGAUGACGUCAAGUCAUCAUGGCCCUUACGACCAGGGCUACACACGUGCUACAAUGGCGCAUACAAAGAGAAGCGACCUCGCGAGAGCAAGCGGACCUCAUAAAGUGCGUCGUAGUCCGGAUUGGAGUCUGCAACUCGACUCCAUGAAGUCGGAAUCGCUAGUAAUCGUGGAUCAGAAUGCCACGGUGAAUACGUUCCCGGGCCUUGUACACACCGCCCGUCACACCAUGGGAGUGGGUUGCAAAAGAAGUAGGUAGCUUAACCUUCGGGAGGGCGCUUACCACUUUGUGAUUCAUGACUGGGGUGAAGUCGUAACAAGGUAACCGUAGGGGAACCUGCGGUUGGAUCACCUCCUUACCUUAAAGAAGC